Molecule: non-coding RNA, 8918 nt
Organism: Microcebus murinus (gray mouse lemur)
Lineage: Eukaryota; Metazoa; Chordata; Mammalia; Primates; Cheirogaleidae
Source: RefSeq, a predicted model, not a curated record
UCUGGUUCUCAUUACCUCUCAACCUGCCUGCGUCUGAUCCAGAGAAAGAGCAGAUUGCAUUCUUACCCAAAUACUCUUCGCGAUUGCCUGCUUUGCGGCUUUGGGGUAAGUCCCAGUUUUCCACAACCUUAAGGAAAAAAAAAUGCAUAACAUAAAAGAUGCCAGAAAGACUUAUAUGUCCUGAUGUUUGGGGUCUGUGAAAUAUACAUUGGGUUGUUGUGUGUGUGGGGGAUGAUGAAAUAAAGAGAAGAGGUUUGUUUCUGCAAGGAUCAAAAGUGUGCGAAAGUGUGCAUAUGCAAACGAGGCUCCCAUCAGGAAAGCCACCUCUGGAAUGGAAAUGACAAAGCUUGGAACACACACAAUCAAUUAUUUUCACUAGCAUUUAAAAUAUAGAAAACAAAAUCUGCUUUGGGAAUUGACUGAAUAUUUUAUUUAGCUUUUUUAUUGAGACAUCCUUUGAAAAAUGGCAUAAUAUAAAUAGUUUUACAAAGCAACAAUAUAAUCAAUCUCUAAACUAGAAUAUAAAUCAAGGAUUUCAUUAACUGCUGGUAGCCAGUUUAAAUUGUAGUCUUGUCCAUAAUGUCUAUCUAUCUAUGUAUGUCCAAGUUAUAUUAAAAACCUUUAAAUGGCUUUGUAAUAUCAGCUACAUCUAGCUAUUAUAAUAAUUAAUGGUACUGUUUUAUAAAUCAAUACAUGUAUUCUUGAUAAAUUCAUAUCCAGUUAAUGGUGUAAUUUAAAUAAAAAAUUAAUGUAAUAAAGGACAUACAGAAAUGGGCAGGAAAUCUUUAAAGGUUAAGAGCCAAAUUUGUCUAAAUUCAUUUUUAACCUGUUUUGGAAAAGUUUAUAUUUAAAAUCAGCUGAGAUUUACCUUGUUUCCAUAAAACUAAUCUUGCCAUUUCUGGUGGUAUCUACUAUUGAAUUUGUAAGAUGUUUUCUUUUUUAACUGUUAAGUUUUAAUGACAUGCUUACAAUACUGUGGAAUAUUUUACUGCAAUUAUAACAUUUUGUUAUUGUUGAAUAUCCUUUAGUAAAAUAGAACAAAACAAAAAAAAACCCCUCAAACCAGUUAUUUAUUUUUAAUACACAAAUGAAAUGUAAAUGCUUUAUUUUUUAUAUACAUAUAUAAAUGAACUGUUCUGAAAAUCUCCAAAGCUAUAUAGAAAUUUUAUUUAAGAGGCAAAAGGACUGAUUAGUUCAAUGAAUUUGCAUGUGUAAGAGGCUAGCGUUUUCACUGCUUUCGCUGAAUGAACAUCCCAGGAAUUUUAGAAAAGAAAAAAAUUGCAUGGAAGAGUCUGAAAUGUAUUUUAACGCUGCACACGGGUAGAGAAACAUUCUACAAAAAGAACAGUGUAUUAUUGUCCUGAUUUUAAAAACACAUAGCAAAGGCAUAUUAAAAAAAUAACAAGAUUUAGAAAAACAACUGAAGGGUGUAUGUUAUCAAAUACAACAUCAAACCUUUCCAAAUAAAAUUUCAUUCGGUGUAUAGAGUAAGCAUUUUACAAAAAAUAUCUUUCAGAAUUAUGCAAACCAGUCUGCCUUGCCAUCCUCCCUGACGUGGUGCAGAAAUGUUCCUUUAAUCCACUGAGCUUUUUCUGACAUUUUUCGUAACAUUGCUGAGUCUUAUUUAGAGCAGCAAAGGAGGCGUAUGCAGUUCCUUUUGACACUGAUGGGUGUUUCAAAAUGUUGAGAGAGAGAGAGAAUGACAGAGAGAGAGAGAGAGAGAGAGAGGAGAGAGAGAGAGAGAGAAGAUUUGCUACCAGUCACUUCAUCAAUAGAACUACAGGAGCAAUUACUAUUUGUUAAAAGUUUACAUUUCAAAUAAAGCUAAAUUUUAAAGAAGGCUCAUCCUUUUAGAAGGUCUGGUGCUUGGAAGAGGGAGAAGAGACUGCACAUUAGUGAUUACAUGUUUAAAGUGCACUCAAGUACUGGAACCAUUUAAAACGUAUUGUGUUUUUAGAUGAAACCUGCAGCAAAACCACUCCUAAGAGGCUUAAUUUAGGUUUUAUAGGAGGAACAUAAAAAAGACCAGGUUACAGCAACAUGCUGAAAUAUGGGGUACAUUUUAAAUAUCUUCAUUUAAAAACGUAUGUUUAUUUUCCCUCCUGGGAUCACUAACGUGUGUCUCUGCAGAGAAAGCAAGGACAUGCUACAUUCUUAAAAAUUAUCUGUUAAAAGGGAUCACAUUCUGAGACAGGUUUGAGCAUUUUUAUUACUACAGAUAACCUCUUAAUUAUGUCACUGCCUUCCACUUGUUAAUCAGGGACCUUCAACAGAGUUAACCAUGGAGUGGUUGCCGUUGGAAGAAUACAUUCUUAUUAAGGAUGAAAAACAUAUUUUAUUCCUUUAAUCAUAUUUCAUGUAUUGUUUUAGCACUGCUAAAAACGUAUUUACCUGCUUAAAAUACAUAACACCUAAGGAAGCGUCUAGAUGCCUAUAACUGUGUUGUUCAUCACUGCAGACUGUGCAGCCCAUGAAAAGCUUUAAGGGAUAAUUUUACUUUUCCUGUCUCCCCCCUUCCCUCCCCCCAUCCCACACAAUUCCUAUCUGAACUAAUUUUCGGUUUCUUCUGCAGCCACCAGUGUUUGAGAUACCCAGAUACUCUUUCAGAGAGCAAGGUGUAAGUGAAGUAAAUAAAAUCAUGUUUCACUGUUGCUUUAUCAACCCUCCUAGGUAGUUUUUCUGCCAGCCAACCUGCGCUGUUAAGACCCAUAAAAUUAUGCAAUAGUGACUUCUUUGGAGGUUCUCUAAUCAGAUAAUGGCCAGUGUUAGGAGGGAAGGGCCCAAGGCAAUGUUGCUGGCACUUAACACUGUGGUUGGUCAUUACUUGUCUGGUAGAGACCAAUAAACAGCUGAUUACUAUCCUAUAAGGAGCCAAUAUUUUACAUUUAUCCUGGUUAUUUUUUCCUUUUCUUUCCUACUUCUUAUUACAGGGAGUAUUUGUCAAGAAGAUCUAUGAGGAAUAGCCUCACAGGCACCUUAAAAAUAAGAAUUUUCCUAGCAUGAAAUGAUGCUUUUUUUGUGGAAAGGUGAGAAUGAUGCUGGCUUUUAUAAGAGCAAAGGUUCCAUUAGUUUAAAGUUCAUUUCUUUCAGACAGGGACACUCCCGGACACCAUCCCUGUGGCUCCUCUGUCCCCUUUUCUCCCUCUGUGACAGGUUCACAGGCUGCAACUAAGGGGUUUUAAAAUGCAAAUAUUUAUAUUUGAGCUCUGGCAAUAACAGGCUUGUUUUGCUUUCUCCAGAAGCCUGUGAUAAUUGAUGCUUCAUACCUGAAACUACGUUUCAUUUAUCUCUUUACACAUGAAGAUAGUAUAUAAAUAAAAGGCAAUUUAUGGCAAGGAAAAGGCCAUUUGAAAUAAUAAUCCUAAAUUUGACUAUAUAAUCAUUUAAAGCUGUAAGAGUCAGUGAUGCAAAUUACUAAACUUUUAAAGGAAACUUGAUUGCAAAGGGGAAAUUUGUGCAUUUUGAAUGCUUAUUAUUGGAUUUGAGUGCCUGCAUGGGCCAAAAAAGAACAAGAAGGAUAAACAGGAAAGCAGGAGAGAAAAGGUGUGCAUGUUACAUGUGUUUUAAACGAAUGUAUGCAAGCACAUAUUUAGACUUCUUGUUACAAUUUUAUUAACUUUCUCUUUGCAUUUCAAUUUUAUUUUGUGCUAACCAAUGCAAAUUGUGAAAUAAUAGCAAGUCUUCUAACGUGCCUGUCCUUCCCUGGGCUCUUCGUCUCAGCAUGAGCAGAGGUACACCGGCCGAUGAGAACUGGACCUUGAUUUCACAACCUCAUACAAAGCCAGGCAAUUCUUGAGCCAAACAAACAAAGGGGGUGUAAGCGAUUUCAUUUAUUUUGAUAAUCCUCCUCCUGCACGGGAGCAUUUUGCUGUCUUUGUCAAAGUGAAUGACAACAAUUUGGCCAACUCUCUCUGAGCUGCACUCAACAGUGACAGGCAAAUUAUCAGAGGCCCUGCACUUCUUAUUAUCAGAGGAGAAGCCAUCAAGGGGACGCAUGGAGGAUACCUCUCCCUUGUCACUAUUUGUCAGUGGGACAAGGGCCACUGCUAUGGGUAGCUGACAGGUAAUUUCAACAAUAACAAUUACUCCUAUUACUGGUGUCAUAAACAAUUCGCCCAAGGCAUGACAAUAGCAAAGCUUUAUAAUUCAAUGCCAUAUAAAUAAAUGCCAGCAGGUAACAAGUAAUUUAGCUCCAAUCAAGCUUUCACCCCGGCAUUAAUAUUGUUAUUGCAAGAAAAUGGAAAAUUGAAAAAAUUCAAUAUGUUAAUGAAUUAAGAGAAGUUCAAGGGCUAGACAAGAGGAGUUGAAACAAGGAAACCAAAAUUAUUAUGGUAUCAUAUUUGGUGCUAUCCUGGGGGCCCAAACAUCAGUAUAAUUACUUUAAGACAAGAAGGGGAAGCCAGCGUGCUGUUGCCCUAGCCUUCAAACCAGGGGGAAAAAUGUGACAUGGCCUUUCAAAAAAUCCGCCUUGCUCCAAUUUCCCGAAGAAUAUAAGUAGAAAUAUGAGAAUGUAUAUGUAAUGUAGCAUUUCACUGGCUUUUUUUUUCCUACCUGAAAUAUUUCAUAUGAAGCAGAGGCAUGAGUAUCAAAGGAGCAUUUCCAUCUGUUUAAGGAAAUCACAUCAGCACCUGCUUCCUUUACAUUAAGUCUCAUAACGAAACUAUUUUAAUAAGCCUUUUUCUUACGUGGGGUGAAGGGAAAGCUAAAAGUCAUCUUUGCUCUCCAGCUGUCCAGCUUUUGGAAGUGGACCGGGGGAUACGGUGUUAUCUUUGAACGUAAAAUUUCCUGAUCAAACCCAUUUGCAAUUUUAGUAUUUGUCCAGCAAGACAAUGUGCCAUCACGGUGACAGCAGUAAAAGAAUUUGAAAAUCUCUAAUUAGGAGAGCUGCAGAGCAAUUAACGCAUGUCAAAUUUCACUUCAUCAAGUGCCACUCUAAUUUUCCCUCUAAAAAUUAAUGGAUUUUUUUUUCUUUUGGUAUGUGUGUGUGUGUCCCCUUAAGGCAAUGUUGAUUCAAAUCUGCUCAAGAUGCAGUGUUGCACAGCUAAGCAUCUUCUUGAUUACAAUCCGCCACACUUCUAACUGCGCUCAUUCUCACUGCCACGGAUACUUUGUCAACAGUCAAAUUACACCACGCUGAUAACAAUGCAUAAUGGUGUUCCUCCUCUGAGGCCCCUGUCAGGAGAUGGGGUUCAUAAAAAUGUGAUGUUUUCUUCUCAGCUGUUUCCAAAGGAAGUUUGUAUGACCAGGUUCCUAGUCAGGCAUUCAUUUUUUUAAAAAAUUAAUGUGCUAAAUUCAAAAGAAAAAAAAAAAGAGAGAGAGAAAGGAACAAAAUGAUGGAAUAUGAAAAUUCCUCACUGAAAAAAAAAUCAGAGGAAGAAUGAGGAAUUGAGAAUAUCUGUGGCCAAAGUUUUGCUUAGACACUUUGUUCGGAGACAUUUUCAAGAGCACUAUUCUUGGUUAAAUACCAGAUUUUUUCCCCUUUACUUAUGGUCUAUAAACAUUGGAAGCCUCUCUUGAACAGACUGUAUUUAGAUUGUGCGAGAAGUUUGUUUAACUGCCAUAUUUGCCAGAAUCCUCAAAACAUCACAGGACACAGAAGACAAAUGACUUUUUUUGGGGGGGGAGGUGGGUCAGGACUGUAUAUUCCAGAUAAAUGUUGAUUCAUUUUAACUAUUUUUUAUCCUAGUUGCUUGUUGCAGAUUGGUGUGUCUGAGACAUCAACACAUGUGAGGAAUAUUUCUCACUGAAAAACGAAAGAAAGAAAUGCAGUGAUUAGAAAAUGAUUUUACAAUUCUUCAGAUAGAUUGAAACAUUCACAUAGAUUGAUACCUCAGUUUUCUCAGCAUGUCAAAUCCAGCUUUUUAUUUGCUGACAACUAACUCAAAAAUCAAAACUUGGUAUUUCAAGGAGAUCUGAAGUUAGAAACCAGUUGUCCACGUCACUGGCUCUUCACCUUGCAGUCUCCUCUGUGGUGAAGCCAUGCAGGACAGAGGUCUCUGAGCACAGCAGGAGCCUGCACCCUGAUGUUCUACCCACCACUGUGGACCCAUGACACGAGCCAGUCAGUGUGGUUCUCAAGCCCCCGGUACCGGGCACACUAUGUGAGCGGUACAGUCACACGCGUGUCAAAGCACGGACCAAAUCUCAUUCAACUCUGAGGUCCUUGACUCAGUUUACUUGUUGUAUUGGGAAAGCAUUGUGACUUUUCCUCCUUAGUAUAACAUCUUGAAAAUCCAUCACUCAAACAAAGAAAGAUCCUGCCAUGACCUUUCUUCUAGAUUGAUUUGCCUUUAGCUAUGGGAAUGGAAAGUCUUUCCAAAAGGUUUUCUCUCCUCCCACCCAAGGCCAUAGUAACCUUUCUAAAUGCCAUUUGAAUCCUGUUGAUUCCUUCCUCAAAUCCCUCAAUUGCUCUUCCUUGAGUAUGGGGUAAGAGGCCCGUCUACUGCACAAGGGGUAACCUGGCCUCUGACCUUUAUAAAUUCAAUGCUUCCCCUCAUUUGCUAUCUUUUUUAUUCCCCAUGCCCUGCUUUUGGGUGGAUUAUUUCUUCUGAGGUUAAGAUAUUUCUUUGCUUUCUUUGCUAGGCUAAAUCCUUUAAACUCAAGUGAUUCAUCUUCUGGGAAGUCUGUCCUAAACCCCAAGCUGGGCAGGAUGGCCCCCUCAGAGCCCACCUGGCACUCAUGGCUUCCCAUUGCAGCCUUAGCUACACUGUGUUGUACUUGCCUUUUGGUGUUUAUGUUUCUCACUGUUCUGGAAGCUUCUGAGGACAGGCCCUGGAUCUUUCAUUUUGGCAAACUCCUGCACCCAGCCCAGAGUCUGGUAUAUAGGAACAAGGUCAAUACAUGUUUACUGAAUAAGCAAAUGAAUGAAGCCUAAAUUUGACAAGUUCUCCCAUGAGAUAAUUAGGGACACCACCAACCUAGAGGUAGAUUGAUAGCUAGUUGAAAACUGUUCCAAAAGAAAUCGGAGAAGGCAGGCCUAGAUCAGACAACUGAUACAAAUGAUGAUUUAUAAGAAUUAGAAAGGAUAUGAGCUAAGAUGCAGGGGCUACUGAACUCGAGGAGGGUUUUCACCCCCAAAUAAUUUAAUUUCAAAAUGGAUGAGGUGUACAAUUCUGCUUUUAGGGCAAAUAAGUUCAUCAAAUUAAUACAAAUUGUGGGAGGAGAACUUGUCUGAAUGUUACUCACAAUGAGCCAAGAGUGUGAUUGAAGCUAAAAUUUUAUUGUUAUUAACUGUUUAUUGUUAUUAAUUACUGAGCACCUGGAAUCUCUUAGGCAUUUUCAAUAGACACUUUAACUUAAUAACUCAGUGUGAGUUAGCCCUCGCCACAUCUCUGAGAAGUGGGUAACGUGCUAUUGGCCCUGUGCGAAUGGGGACACUGAGGCUCAGGGAGAGUAAACCACCAGCCCAAGGUCACAGAGCUAAAAGGGACAGCAUGACUGGGCGACUCCUGAAGUCACGGAUUGAAGGGUGGUAUUGACAAACUAGAGCACAUUCUGGGGAGUGGGGCUGAUGCGCAUUUCUUUUCUAACAGUGUGACAACAAUCACAUUCUGGUCUCCUCCUCCUAUUUCCAAACCAACUGAGGAAUACACAAAAAUGUCAGACAAAUAUAAAUCCAAACGUCAGCUUUUUCAGAGGAAGCUGGUUAAAUACACACACUAAUCCUGUACCCCAACCCCAGCAGUAAAUGCAGCUGCCAGAACUGCAGGUUCACCUGGAAGGGGCCAAGCCUGCCUGGCAGGGCCCCCACAGGCAGGGACAAAACCUGGCUCCACAGGCAGCUCCUGAGCAGUGGACGCCGCAGGCCUGUGUGGCUUAGCCCCUAGGAUCAGUGACGCCUCCCAGGCAAGCCGCGCCCCUCCUAUGGGCAGGAAUGGGUCAGAGAGAGGCCAGAGUGUGACUCUAAAGCUCCUCAGGGACACAGAAAGCCCAGGAAUGAAGUCCUAGUCCCUAGUGGUGGCCAGGAUGCUAACUGACAUAUCAGUGGCACCAAAAGGUAGAAAGACUGGUGUGAUGGUUAAAUUUAUGUGUCAAAUCAACUGAGCUGUGGUACCUGGAUGUUUGGCCAAAUACCAAUUGAGACGUUGCUGUGAAGGUACUUUUUAGAUGUGAUUGACAUUUAAAUCAGUAGACUCUGAGUAAAGCAGAUUACUCUCCAUGAUGUGGGUGGCCCUCAUCCCAUCAGUUGAAGGCAUUAAAAGCAAAGACUGAGGUUUCCAGAAGAAAAAGAAGUACUCCUAAAGACUGCAACAUCCACUCAUACAUGAAUUCUCAUCUGCCCUACAGAUUUCGGAGUUGCCCAUCUCCCCACUGUGAGCCAAUCUUUCUCCGUUUCUAAAUAUAUAUAUGUAUGUACCUAUGUAUAUAUACAUAGGAGUAUCUCCCAUUGGUUCUGUUUGUCUGGAGAAGGCUGGCUAAUACAACUGGGGAUGUUGAAUAUGCAGCUGAGGAAUUAGCGUGGUGAUCACGGAAGCCAUGUUCACAUUUCUGAUGGGUUCCCACAGGGCAAGCUAUUGGGCUCACUCAAUGUGUCCCGUCAGCGUGGACUUUCUUGAGAUGCUUUUAGCACUUGAAAUGGUUUCACUGGAGCAUGACCGUCCUUGUUAGAGAAAAAAUGCUCAGGUUGUGAGGAGGCUGACUCGGACAGCUGCCUAUUAGGGUCACUUUAAACUCUUUUAAGGGUAGUGACACUAUCUUAUGCUUCUGUUAAAUAAUUCCAAUGCCAUUUUUUCAUGUUUUAAUGUCUAUUAGUUUUAGACAUUAAAACUAAUGUCUAAAACUUUCAUGUCUAUUACUUUAUUGGCUUUCCAACAGUGUCUAGCACACAAUUAGACAAUUAUAGAAUUGAAUUGAGAGUGUAAUAAUGGCUAAUUAGGAACCAAAUUUUAACUUUAAAUGAACAUGUACUUCUCUGUUUU